GGCCCAUAGCUUAGUGGAAGAGCAUCUGCUUUGAAUGCAGAAGGUUGCAGGUUCGAUCCCCGGGUUAAUCU
Podarcis lilfordi (Lilford's wall lizard) is the source of this 71-nucleotide non-coding RNA. The record is from the annotation of a GenBank genome assembly. NCBI's taxonomy places the organism in Eukaryota, Metazoa, Chordata, Lepidosauria, Squamata, Lacertidae.